AAUUGGAGUUCGAUUCCACUUAACACCCAAGGGCAAAUGUUCAACGAAUUUAAGAAAUAUUAUCUAUGGGCUCCCGAACACGAGGAUGACGUUCAAGUGAACUUCAAGCUUAAAGCUUCAAAGUUGCUUUCUAGCACAUUUUGUGACUGUCGGAAAAAAACAGAAUGCCUAAGUUUAUGUUACCGGAUCGAUGGGCUCUGUUACUAAAACGCUAGAGUACUGAUGAAAAAUUUAAUAAGAGGAGUGAGAUUGGGAAGAUGACUCGCGCAUCAGAAAAGGGAGGCUCUUUGCACACUGGUGGAGCUAUUAACCAGGUUACUAGGAAGGAAAGAAUGGAAAAAGAGUUGGGUAGGCCGGUAGCUGUAGCAGAGAUGUUCAAGGUUACUCACGUCAAGAAGAGUAUGAACCCCACAGAAGAAGAAAG
Solanum stenotomum is the source of this 424-nucleotide long non-coding RNA. RefSeq lists it as uncharacterized. The transcript is spliced from 3 exons. Lineage: Eukaryota; Viridiplantae; Streptophyta; Magnoliopsida; Solanales; Solanaceae. The record is from RefSeq and is a predicted model, not a curated record.